Molecule: non-coding RNA, 111 nt
Filed under: Thermosinus carboxydivorans
Lineage: Bacteria; Bacillati; Bacillota; Negativicutes; Selenomonadales; Sporomusaceae
Also listed under: 1 other name
Description: TPP sequence
Rfam family: TPP riboswitch aptamer (THI element)
About the family: Vitamin B(1) in its active form thiamin pyrophosphate (TPP) is an essential coenzyme that is synthesised by coupling of pyrimidine and thiazole moieties in bacteria. The previously detected thiamin-regulatory element, thi box was extended, resulting in a new, highly conserved RNA secondary structure, the THI element, which is widely distributed in eubacteria and also occurs in some archaea.
Source: RNAcentral
GUUUGGAGCUAGGGGAGCCGGGAGGCCGGCUGAGAUACAGAACCGCUAAUUUCUGUGACCCUUAAACCUGAACUGGGUAAUGCCAGCGUAGGGAAGCUUAAACGAUUGGUU